RNAcentral lists this ribosomal RNA (301 nucleotides) under uncultured bacterium. Its description in RNAcentral is "partial 16S ribosomal RNA". It matches the Rfam family "Bacterial small subunit ribosomal RNA", at positions 509 to 807 of the family's 1533-position model. The record is from RNAcentral.
CAGUCGCCACGGGAAUACGGAGGGAGCUAGCGUUGUUCGGAAUUACUGGGCGUAAAGCGCGCGUAGGCGGUUACUCAAGUCAGAGGUGAAAGCCCGGGGCUCAACCCCGGAACUGCCUUUGAAACUAGGUGACUAGAAUCUUGGAGAGGUCAGUGGAAUUCCGAGUGUAGAGGUGAAAUUCGUAGAUAUUCGGAGGAACACCAGUGGCGAAGGCGGCUCACUGGUCCAUUACUGACGCUGAGGUGCGAAAGCGUGGGGAGCAAACAGGAUUAGAUACCCCAGUAGUCCCUGUCUCUUAUAC